GAGAAGAACGCAGCGAAAUGCGAUAAGUAAUGUGAAUUGCAGAAUUCAGUGAAUCAUCGAAUCUUUGAACGCACAUUGCGCCCCUUGGUAUUCCGAGGGGCAUGCCUGUUCGAGCGUCAUUAUAACCCCUCAAGCUCAGCUUGGUGUUGGGGCCUGCUGCACUGGCAGCCCUUAAAAUCAGUGGCGGCGCCAUCUGGCUCUAAGCGUAGUAAUUCUUCUCGCUAUGGAGUCCUGGUGGAUGCUUGCCAUCAACCCCCAAUUUUUCUAUGGUUGACCUCGGAUCAGGUAGGGAUACCCGCUGAACUUAAGCAUAUCAAUAAGCGGAGGA
This 328-nucleotide unclassified non-coding RNA is filed under the name soil metagenome. RNAcentral's name for it is "partial contains 5.8S ribosomal RNA, internal transcribed spacer 2, and large subunit ribosomal RNA". The stretch from base 3 to 119 matches the Rfam family "5.8S ribosomal RNA", at positions 38 to 154 of the family's 154-position model. The record is from RNAcentral.